UGAAAGACGUAGUAACUUGCGAUAAGCCCAGAUUAGGUAGUAACAGCCAUUUGAGUCUGGGAUUUCUGAAUGGGGAAACCCACUUACAUAAGUAAGUAUCCUUACCUGAAUACAUAGGGUAAGGAGGCGAACCGGGGGAACUGAAACAUCUAAGUACCCCGAGGAAAAGAAAUCAACCGAGAUUCCGAAAGUAGCGGCGAGCGAAAUUGGACUAGCCCUUAAGCUUUACACGCGUUAGACGAACGGUCUGGAAAGUCCGACGAUACAGGGUGAUAGUCCCGUAGUUGACGACGUGUGUUCAGUGAAAUCGAGUAGGGCGGGACACGUGAUAUCCUGUCUGAAUAUGGGGGGACCAUCCUCCAAGGCUAAAUACUACUGACUGACCGAUAGUGAACCAGUACCGUGAGGGAAAGGCGAAAAGAACCCCUGUGAGGGGAGUGAAAUAGAACCUGAAACCGUGUACGUACAAGCAGUAGGAGCAGGCUUUGUCCUGUGACUGCGUACCUUUUGUAUAAUGGGUCAGCGACUUAUAUUCAGUGGCAAGGUUAACCAUCUAGGGGAGCCGUAGGGAAACCGAGUCUUAACUGGGCGUUCAGUCUCUGGAUAUAGACCCGAAACCAGG
Molecule: ribosomal RNA, 622 nt
Filed under: Vibrio parahaemolyticus
Lineage: Bacteria; Pseudomonadati; Pseudomonadota; Gammaproteobacteria; Vibrionales; Vibrionaceae
Description: partial 23S ribosomal RNA
Rfam family: Bacterial large subunit ribosomal RNA
Source: RNAcentral